Long non-coding RNA from Frankliniella occidentalis (western flower thrips), 1246 nucleotides. RefSeq lists it as uncharacterized. The transcript is spliced from 4 exons. The record is from RefSeq and is a predicted model, not a curated record. Lineage: Eukaryota; Metazoa; Arthropoda; Insecta; Thysanoptera; Thripidae.
UCUUACUUUAAAAUUCUGGUGCUGUUGAAGCUGCCCUCUCUCGUUUCUUUUCUAUCGUUUCUCAAUAAUUUAGUGGCCUCCCGUUUUAUUUCGGUAAGAAGCAACCAUGUUUUGAUUAAUCUUUUUGUCUGUUUCAGAAGUCAACACAUGUUCAAGUGUGCCUAACCUAACUUCAUAGCAUCUCCUAGGCCCAUAGCUUGGAUAGUAUCAGUGGAGCACUUUCGUGGACAUCUUUCACAUCAUAGCAGUAAAUCCAUGUCUACAUAAUGACUUUUACUAAAUGAUGCAACGAAAAGUCAGGGUGAAUUGCUAAGUUCCCCAACCUCAGACUGAACAACUAUGUUUUGAAGCGAAUUGAAAGGUGACUUUAAAGUUCUUUCUCUACUUGUUGCACUCAAGCUUGUAUUUCAUGCUGUGAAACUUUUGUAGCUAACAUUUCGUAUUUGAGUAUGUUGAGAACGAUGGAUGUUUAAGGGGAAAAUUCGUUUUGUGGAUCAUUGACUUUAAGGGUAAACCAAGCAAGCGAAUUAUUGUGACAUCAUGCUCGCAACAAGGUAGAUGCAGAGUCAAGGGGAAAUAGGCUUGAACUUCGGUGUACGUUUCCUUGAACUUCGGCGAACUUCGGUGAACUUCGGUGAACUUCAGUGAACUCUAGUGAACUUCGAGAACUUCGGUGAACUUCGGUGAACUUCGCGGAACUUCGAGUGAAGUUCUCGAACUUCGACCUGAUCAAGAGAUAUGAAAGCAAAAUUUUCCCUCCGUAAUCUUUGUAAUUCGGCCCGUAAAUAUCUGCUUUGAGAAAGCUGGUGACUCGCUUAUAGUAAGCACUCAAAAUCGCUAGGUUCAGCCUUUAAAAUGUACUUAUUUAUUUUGAACUUCAGUGAACUUCUAUGAUUUAUUUUGAACUUCGGAGAACUUCGAGAUUUAUUUUGAACUUUGGGGAACUUCGACAUUUAACUAUGAACUUCGAGGAACUUCAAUGUCUGAUUUUGAACUUCGGUGAACUGCGUGAACUUCGAUGGAUUUCGGUGAACUUCGGUUGAUUUCGUUGAACUUCGGUUGAUUUUGGUGAACUCCGAUCAAAUUUAACAUAGCGAACUUCAGUAAACUUCGGCUGAACUUCGGCCGAAGUUCAUGAACUUCGACUUCGGGUGUACAAUUUUUCGGAGCCUAUUUCCCCCUGUGCAGAGUAGACUAUGUAGUGGAGUUAUUUACUUCGUGCAAUAAAGUGAUGCAACUGAGUCAA